This 73-nucleotide transfer RNA is filed under the name Denitrovibrio acetiphilus DSM 12809. Its description in RNAcentral is "tRNA-Val (TAC) (tRNA-Val-TAC-1-1)". It matches the Rfam family "tRNA". Rfam says of the family: Transfer RNA (tRNA) molecules are approximately 80 nucleotides in length. Their secondary structure includes four short double-helical elements and three loops (D, anti-codon, and T loops). RNAcentral also lists the same sequence under 2 other names. The record is from Rfam by way of RNAcentral. Lineage: Bacteria; Pseudomonadati; Deferribacterota; Deferribacteres; Deferribacterales; Geovibrionaceae.
GGGUGGUUAGCUCAGCUGGGAGAGCAUCGGCCUUACAAGCCGAGGGUCACAAGUUCGAUCCUUGUACCACCCA